RNAcentral lists this microRNA precursor (86 nucleotides) under Chlorocebus sabaeus (green monkey). RNAcentral's name for it is "miRNA (ENSCSAG00000022748.1)". Lineage: Eukaryota; Metazoa; Chordata; Mammalia; Primates; Cercopithecidae. The record is from RNAcentral.
UUUGGGAGGCCAAGGCAGGAGGAUCACUUGAGCCCAGGAGUUUGAGACCACCCUGGGCAACAAAGUGAGACCCCCAUCUCUAAAAA